This 78-nucleotide transfer RNA is filed under the name Caudoviricetes sp. RNAcentral describes it as "tRNA-OTHER". The record is from RNAcentral. Lineage: Duplodnaviria; Heunggongvirae; Uroviricota; Caudoviricetes.
GGCUGUGGUCUAAAAAUGGUCUUGAAAACUAGCGAAGGUGCAAGCCUUCCGUGGGUUCGAAUCCCACCCUUUCCGCCA